GCCUAGGUGGCUCAGUUGGUUAAGCGUCUGACUCCAACUCAGGUCAUGACUCCCGGUUUGUGGGUUUGAGCCCCACAUUGGGCU
This 84-nucleotide transfer RNA is filed under the name Felis catus (domestic cat). It matches the Rfam family "tRNA". From Rfam's summary of the family: Transfer RNA (tRNA) molecules are approximately 80 nucleotides in length. Their secondary structure includes four short double-helical elements and three loops (D, anti-codon, and T loops). Lineage: Eukaryota; Metazoa; Chordata; Mammalia; Carnivora; Felidae. The record is from Rfam by way of RNAcentral. RNAcentral also lists the same sequence under 2 other names.